ACGCUCUCUGACGUCGCCGGGGGUCCCUCCCACCUUCCCCAGCCCCGCCCUUCUUCAGUGCCUGAUAAAAGUCGAGCUCUUCCCACGCCCUGUCAGCUACGGGCGCCUGGAAAACCGGGAGAGCGGAUCCCCCAGCAGCAGCCAGAAGGCCCGGGGACACCUCAUAGCAACAGCCAGCCGGGGCAUCUAGUAGGAAGCUGGGAUUCAUUUCAGCCAACCAGCCCGCGUUUUUGGACCCCGUGGUAUCAUUCUCGACCAAUAGAGAGCCGCUUCAUGCCACGUGACACUGACCCAUCAGCCAAUGGAGGAAAAGUCUAGUCGCAGGCUCAGCCAUCCCAUCUGCCACUGUUGGCCAGGCUGGGCGUUUGCCCCUGCGCACACUCUGCCAACCAAUCAUAGGUCCCCAAAAGUUGAGAAGCUCUGGACUGGAGUGCAUCUGAUAGAAGUUGUCACAAAAAAAUAACUUUGAUUAAGAGUCAUCACUGAAGUGCAGUCCAGCAACGAUUACAUCUGAUAAACUGCAAAAUGGAGAAUCUAGGAUUCUUGAAGCUACUGUCAGAUAAUAGGGUCUCUGAAUGAACUGAAUCCAAAUACAGCCAGCUCUGAAGCACUCCCAGGUGAGCUUUUCUGAUUUUUCUGUGACAAUUCACAAAGCCCUGG
This is a long non-coding RNA of Aethalodelphis obliquidens (Pacific white-sided dolphin), 660 nucleotides long. RefSeq lists it as uncharacterized. NCBI's taxonomy places the organism in Eukaryota, Metazoa, Chordata, Mammalia, Artiodactyla, Delphinidae. The record is from RefSeq and is a predicted model, not a curated record. The transcript has 4 exons.